UAACGCGUGAGGAACCUGCCUCAAAGAGGGGGGAAACAGUUGGAAACGACUGCUAAUACCGCAUAAGCCCACAGCUCGGCAUCGAGCAGAGGGAAAAGGAGUGAUCCGCUUUGAGAUGGCCUCGCGUCCGAUUAGCUAGUUGGUGAGGUAAUGGCCCACCAAGGCGACGAUCGGUAGCCGGACUGAGAGGUUGAACGGCCACAUUGGGACUGAGACACGGCCCAG
RNAcentral lists this ribosomal RNA (225 nucleotides) under uncultured bacterium. RNAcentral describes it as "partial 16S ribosomal RNA". It matches the Rfam family "Bacterial small subunit ribosomal RNA", at positions 111 to 334 of the family's 1533-position model. The record is from RNAcentral.